Molecule: ribosomal RNA, 492 nt
Filed under: uncultured bacterium
Lineage: Bacteria
Description: partial 16S ribosomal RNA
Rfam family: Bacterial small subunit ribosomal RNA
Source: RNAcentral
AGUGAACGCUGGCGGUAGGCCUAACACAUGCAAGUCGAACGGCAGCACAGUAAGAGCUUGCUCUUACGGGUGGCGAGUGGCGGACGGGUGAGGAAUACAUCGGAAUCUACUUUUUCGUGGGGGAUAACGUAGGGAAACUUACGCUAAUACCGCAUACGACCUACGGGUGAAAGCAGGGGAUCUUCGGACCUUGCGCGAUUGAAUGAGCCGAUGUCGGAUUAGCUAGUUGGCGGGGUAAAGGCCCACCAAGGCGACGAUCCGUAGCUGGUCUGAGAGGAUGAUCAGCCACACUGGAACUGAGACACGGUCCAGACUACUACGGGAGGCAGCAGUGGGGAAUAUUGGACAAUGGGCGCAAGCCUGGUCCAGCCAUACCGCGUGGGUGAAGAAGGCCUUCGGGUUGUAAAGCCCUUUUGUUGGGAAAGAAAAGCAGCAGGUUAAUACCCCGCUGUUCUGACGGUACCCAAAGAAUAAGCACCGGCUAACUUCGUG